This is a non-coding RNA of Phrynosoma platyrhinos (Desert horned lizard), 72 nucleotides long. NCBI's taxonomy places the organism in Eukaryota, Metazoa, Chordata, Lepidosauria, Squamata, Phrynosomatidae. The record is from the annotation of a GenBank genome assembly.
GCUAGCAUGGCACAGUGGUUUGAGUAUUGGACUGCAGCUCUGGAGGCCAGGGUUUGAUUCCCAACUCAACCA